GUGCUUGCUUCAGCAGCUCAUACACUACAAUUGGGACGAUACAGAAAAGACUCACAUGGCUCCUGCACAGGGAUGACAAAUUCAUGGAGCAUUCCAUAUUUUU
Small nuclear RNA from Hippopotamus amphibius kiboko, 103 nucleotides. NCBI's taxonomy places the organism in Eukaryota, Metazoa, Chordata, Mammalia, Artiodactyla, Hippopotamidae. The record is from RefSeq and is a predicted model, not a curated record.